Molecule: ribosomal RNA, 578 nt
Filed under: Candidatus Deferrimicrobium sp.
Lineage: Bacteria; Candidatus Deferrimicrobiota; Candidatus Deferrimicrobia; Candidatus Deferrimicrobiales; Candidatus Deferrimicrobiaceae
Description: bacterial SSU rRNA
Rfam family: Bacterial small subunit ribosomal RNA
Source: RNAcentral
UAAGUGGAGAGUUUGAUCCUGGCUCAGAACGAACGCUGGCGGCGUGCUUAACACAUGCAAGUCGAGCGAGAAAGGGGGGGCAACCCCCUGAGUAGAGCGGCGCACGGGUGAGUAACGCGUGGGUAACCUACCCUCAGGCGGGGGAUAACCACUCGAAAGGGUGGCUAAUACCGCAUGAGACCACGGGAUCUUCGGAUCCUGAGGCUAAAGAUCGCACCGGCUUGCCGGUGCUGUCACCAGGGGAUGGGCCCGCGUCCGAUUAGCUAGUUGGCGAGGUAAUGGCUCACCAAGGCUUCGAUCGGUAGCUGGUCUGAGAGGAUGAUCAGCCACACUGGAACUGAAACACGGUCCAGACUCCUACGGGAGGCAGCAGUGAGGAAUAUUGCGCAAUGGGGGAAACCCUGACGCAGCAACGCCGCGUGGGUGAAGAAGGCCUUCGGGUCGUAAAGCCCUGUCAGCCGGGACGAAUUUCCUGGUUGGAUAAUGGCCAGGGGUGACGGUACCGGCAGAGGAAGCCCCGGCUAACUACGUGCCAGCAGCCGCGGUAAUACGUAGGGGGCGAGCGUUGUCCGGAAUCA